UACUAUCAGAGCUGUGGAGUGUGACAAUGGUGUUUGUGUCCAAUCUAUCAAACGCCAUUAUCACACUAAAUAGCUACUGUUAGAUA
RNAcentral lists this microRNA precursor (86 nucleotides) under Alligator mississippiensis (American alligator). Its description in RNAcentral is "microRNA ami-mir-122 precursor". Its record names the gene ami-mir-122. The stretch from base 7 to 79 matches the Rfam family "mir-122 microRNA precursor family". Rfam says of the family: In mammals, miR-122 is enriched in liver cells where it has been implicated as a regulator of fatty-acid metabolism in mouse studies. The hairpin precursors (represented here) are predicted based on base pairing and cross-species conservation -- their extents are not known. Lineage: Eukaryota; Metazoa; Chordata; Crocodylia; Alligatoridae. RNAcentral also lists the same sequence under 1 other name. The record is from miRBase by way of RNAcentral.